This 324-nucleotide unclassified non-coding RNA is filed under the name soil metagenome. RNAcentral describes it as "partial contains 5.8S ribosomal RNA, internal transcribed spacer 2, and large subunit ribosomal RNA". The stretch from base 1 to 120 matches the Rfam family "5.8S ribosomal RNA", at positions 35 to 154 of the family's 154-position model. The record is from RNAcentral.
GAUGAAGAACGCAGCGAAAUGCGAUAAGUAGUGUGAAUUGCAGAAUUCAGUGAAUCAUCGAAUCUUUGAACGCACAUUGCGCCCCUUGGUAUUCCAUGGGGCAUGCCUUUUCGAGCGUCAUUUGUACCUUCAAGCUUUGCUUGGUGUUGGGUGUUUGUCCCGAGGGACUCGCCUUAAAGUAAUUGGCAGCCAGUGUUUGGUUUUGAAGCGCAGCACAAGUCGCGAUUCAAGGCUACACGCCCGCUUCCACAAGCCUUUUUUCACUUUUGACCUCGGAUCAGGUAGGGAUACCCGCUGAACUUAAGCAUAUCAAUAAGCGGAGGA